Long non-coding RNA from Brassica oleracea var. oleracea, 896 nucleotides. RefSeq lists it as uncharacterized. The transcript is spliced from 3 exons. Lineage: Eukaryota; Viridiplantae; Streptophyta; Magnoliopsida; Brassicales; Brassicaceae. The record is from RefSeq and is a predicted model, not a curated record.
CGCCUCCUUAGUAAUCACCGUGCUCUCUUCUCCCUUCUUAAUUCGCUCUCGCUCUAUAAUAUCUCGUUUAUUAAGUGCUACCUUUUAGCAUGGAGCUGCAAUGGUUGAAUAAACUGGAGACAAGCAGGAUCUCUCGAGUUGUCUCUCAUGUCUAGACCAUUUGUGAGAAGGGAUUUACUGUUUGCACCAUUCACCUCACCAAUCUCUAAAUCUGCAAUUAGUAUUAUGCUCAUUCAAGAAAAUUAGCAUCUAGAAAGUUGGUACAUAAAGUGCAUUUAUGACUUUUGCUGAUGCUGUACACAUAUUUUUUUUUUUUGUAGAAUCAGUUCAUGACAAUUUUCCAAAUCAUAUACAGUUUUGGACAUACAUUUUGCCUAAGAAAUGUCAAACUUCUGUCUGGAGUGUUAGAAGGUUUUCAUGAUAGCUCAGAAUUUUAUAGCUUGCCCUACUUAAUUAGCUACAUUAGUUCACUUGUUAAGAAGUUGGGAAGUGGGGGGAGGUGCUGGGUUUCCCUUCUCAUCGAUGGUCUAGAUGUGCGAGGUGACUCUCAUAGUGUUAAAGAGAAACGGUAUAAGUGAGUGGUCACAACAAGCCUCCACAUGCAACAUUAGUAUUUCCUGAAAAGGUUGAUACAUCAUGCCACUUUUCAAACUUAACGUAAAAGAUAGAUGCAGAAGCAAGUAGCACUGAUUUUAUUGCAAGAACUAAAGAAGCCAGGCAAAAGAAGAAGAAGCAAAGUGUGUUUUAUUGGAGGAUAAGGACGUUGAAGGAUAAGGACAUAUACUUAGAUAUGUUUAACUAAUGUGAUAAGGAUGUAAUUAGAAGAAUAUACCCUAAAGUCGGUUAAGAUCUUUGUAAUAUAUAUACUCUUGUAACGUGAUGAAUAGAGGCAACCU